This 283-nucleotide unclassified non-coding RNA is filed under the name uncultured fungus. RNAcentral's name for it is "partial contains small subunit ribosomal RNA, internal transcribed spacer 1, and 5.8S ribosomal RNA". The stretch from base 1 to 73 matches the Rfam family "Eukaryotic small subunit ribosomal RNA", at positions 1759 to 1831 of the family's 1831-position model. The record is from RNAcentral. Lineage: Eukaryota; Fungi.
GCAAACUUGGUCAUUUAGAGGAAGUAAAAGUCGUAACAAGGUCUCCGUUGGUGAACCAGCGGAGGGAUCAUUAAAGAGUUCUAUAACUCCCAAACCCAUGUGAACAUACCUAACGUUGCCUCGGCAGGUCGCGCCUACCUCGUAGCCCCUACCCGGUAGAUGCGGGUAAGCCUGCCGGCGGCCCACCAAACUCUGUUUGAUAUUGAAUUCUGAACCUAUAACUAAAUAAGUUAAAACUUUCAACAACGGAUCUCUUGGUUCUGGCAUCGAUGAAGAACGCAGC